This 1145-nucleotide ribosomal RNA is filed under the name Levilactobacillus brevis. RNAcentral's name for it is "bacterial SSU rRNA". It matches the Rfam family "Bacterial small subunit ribosomal RNA", at positions 55 to 1166 of the family's 1533-position model. The record is from RNAcentral. Lineage: Bacteria; Bacillati; Bacillota; Bacilli; Lactobacillales; Lactobacillaceae.
AUGCAAGUCGAACGAGCUUCCGUUGAAUGACGUGCUUGCACUGAUUUCAACAAUGAAGCGAGUGGCGAACUGGUGAGUAACACGUGGGAAAUCUGCCCAGAAGCAGGGGAUAACACUUGGAAACAGGUGCUAAUACCGUAUAACAACAAAAUCCGCAUGGAUUUUGUUUGAAAGGUGGCUUCGGCUAUCACUUCUGGAUGAUCCCGCGGCGUAUUAGUUAGUUGGUGAGGUAAAGGCCCACCAAGACGAUGAUACGUAGCCGACCUGAGAGGGUAAUCGGCCACAUUGGGACUGAGACACGGCCCAAACUCCUACGGGAGGCAGCAGUAGGGAAUCUUCCACAAUGGACGAAAGUCUGAUGGAGCAAUGCCGCGUGAGUGAAGAAGGGUUUCGGCUCGUAAAACUCUGUUGUUAAAGAAGAACACCUUUGAGAGUAACUGUUCAAGGGUUGACGGUAUUUAACCAGAAAGCCACGGCUAACUACGUGCCAGCAGCCGCGGUAAUACGUAGGUGGCAAGCGUUGUCCGGAUUUAUUGGGCGUAAAGCGAGCGCAGGCGGUUUUUUAAGUCUGAUGUGAAAGCCUUCGGCUUAACCGGAGAAGUGCAUCGGAAACUGGGAGACUUGAGUGCAGAAGAGGACAGUGGAACUCCAUGUGUAGCGGUGGAAUGCGUAGAUAUAUGGAAGAACACCAGUGGCGAAGGCGGCUGUCUAGUCUGUAACUGACGCUGAGGCUCGAAAGCAUGGGUAGCGAACAGGAUUAGAUACCCUGGUAGUCCAUGCCGUAAACGAUGAGUGCUAAGUGUUGGAGGGUUUCCGCCCUUCAGUGCUGCAGCUAACGCAUUAAGCACUCCGCCUGGGGAGUACGACCGCAAGGUUGAAACUCAAAGGAAUUGACGGGGGCCCGCACAAGCGGUGGAGCAUGUGGUUUAAUUCGAAGCUACGCGAAGAACCUUACCAGGUCUUGACAUCUUCUGCCAAUCUUAAAAAUAAGACGUUCCCUUCGGGGACAGAAUGACAGGUGGUGCAUGGUUGUCGUCAGCUCGUGUCGUGAGAUGUUGGGUUAAGUCCCGCAACGAGCGCAACCCUUAUUAUCAGUUGCCAGCAUUCAGUUGGGCACUCUGGUGAGACUGCCGGUGACAAACCGG